RNAcentral lists this ribosomal RNA (123 nucleotides) under uncultured Cenococcum. RNAcentral's name for it is "partial 5.8S ribosomal RNA". It matches the Rfam family "5.8S ribosomal RNA", at positions 1 to 122 of the family's 154-position model. Rfam says of the family: 5.8S ribosomal RNA (5.8S rRNA) is a component of the large subunit of the eukaryotic ribosome. It is transcribed by RNA polymerase I as part of the 45S precursor that also contains 18S and 28S rRNA. Lineage: Eukaryota; Fungi; Ascomycota; Dothideomycetes; Gloniales; Gloniaceae. The record is from RNAcentral.
AAACUUUCAACAACGGAUCUCUUGGUUCUGGCAUCGAUGAAGAACGCAGCGAAAUGCGAUAAGUAGUGUGAAUUGCAGAAUUCAGUGAAUCAUCGAAUCUUUGAACGCACAUUGCGCCCCUUG